CCCUUAGAUGUUCUGGGCCGUACGCGUGCUACACUGAGUGGAUCAGCGGGUCAGGUUGCGCGAAAGCGUUUCCUAAUCUUUAAAUCCGCUCGUGAUGGGGAUUGACGGUUGCAAUUUUCUGUCAUGAACGAGGAAUACCUUGUAAGCGCGGGUCAUCAUCCCGCGCUGAAUACGUCCCUGCCCUUUGUACACACCGCCCGUCGCUCCUACCGAUUGAGUGGUCCGGUGAGGCUUUGGGAUCUGAGCGGAAAGAGCGUUUCGCUGUUUCUGCUCGGAAAACUCAGUCGAACCUUAUCAUUUAGAGGAAGGAGAAGUCGUAACA
Molecule: ribosomal RNA, 322 nt
Filed under: uncultured eukaryote
Lineage: Eukaryota
Description: partial 18S ribosomal RNA
Rfam family: Eukaryotic small subunit ribosomal RNA
Source: RNAcentral